RNAcentral lists this long non-coding RNA (688 nucleotides) under Mytilus galloprovincialis (Mediterranean mussel). Lineage: Eukaryota; Metazoa; Mollusca; Bivalvia; Mytilida; Mytilidae. The record is from RNAcentral.
GAUCUUAUUAAUGAGGGAGGGUAGGAGGGGUUCUGAUCCCGAAAUCCCGAGCUUAAAAACACGAAAUCCCGAAAUCCCGGGCUUAAAAAUCCCGAAUUCCUGAGGUCCUGAAAUGCGAAAAAGGAUUCCCGGAUCCCGAAAGGGUCAAUCCCGAAAUCCCGAGCUUAAAAACACCCGAUCCCGGAGUCCCGAUAAAGGUCCUAUCCCCCCUCAUUAAUGAGUAAAGAGUAGAAUAGUGUACUGUACAAAAUGUGAUUCUCGAUAAACAAUGUCUAUUUAGAAGCGCAUGAGUUCAACAUAUUUGAAAGCCAUCUCAUACUAAAAAUUUAUUUAUGGUUUUUGAUAUAUUCUUUGAUUUCACACCACUUUCCUGGAUGCAAAUCGUUGCAUAGCAAUACGUAUCUUGUUUAUAAUCUGUAAAGAACAUUUUAAUCUAACUAAUGUAGAAACAGCAAUGUUUCCGCACCAAAUGGGCAUCUCGAUAAAUUCUUUCCAUUCAUUGAUGGUCGAGGUACACAUAUAUGAAAGCAAAAUCCUAUUAAGGUAGUAUGGGUGUAUUUCGCCAUCUUAGAUUGUAACUUACAAAGAAUCUGAGGCUCAGAUUUUCAGUCAAGUCAACAAAAUUUGAUGAGGAAUGCAGAUGACUAGUACAUAUGUAACAUGUGUAAUGUGAAUUUUCAUUUAGAAG